UAACUGGCUUUCCUGUUUUGAGCUUUUUUAGAUUAAGAGACUCAGGAAGUGGCCUCUGGACAAGCCUACAGUGGGGUCUGUGGAGUUGCAUGUGUGCUAACGCCUCCAGCCUAUGUAUAUAACCCAGACUGAUCCUGGCUGUGAACUCUGGACUGCAGGGGGACAAUGUUGUAUCUGUCAAUGGAGCUUUAUCGAUUGGAACCAACAUACAAGCCAGAGUGGGGUGUUGACAAUGGGGGAGGCUGUGUAUAUUGGGGGAAGAGGAUAUGCAUGCAAACCACGUCUGGUGCCACUCCUGCAAACCCUGUGAUCUAGAGGUGGAAGCAUGAGGACCAAGAGUUCAAGGCCAUCCUCCACUCUAUAGGGGACCUGAGGAAUGCCCAGGCUAUUGUAAGCCUUUCUCUCAAAAAGGAAUUCCCAUAACCCAGAGUGGCCUAGGACUUGCUAUGUAGUGGAGGUGUCAUGCAACUUCUUAUCUUCCUGCCUCUACCUAGCUUGUGUGCUGAAGCCCCGGGCCUCACCAUGGUGAAGUAGCCGGCCGCCUGCUCCAGCAGCCCCACCAGACCCAGUUCUGUG
This is a long non-coding RNA of Mus musculus (house mouse), 576 nucleotides long. RefSeq annotates it as predicted gene, 39305. The transcript is spliced from 3 exons. The record is from RefSeq and is a predicted model, not a curated record. Lineage: Eukaryota; Metazoa; Chordata; Mammalia; Rodentia; Muridae.